This 1247-nucleotide ribosomal RNA is filed under the name metagenome. RNAcentral's name for it is "bacterial LSU rRNA". It matches the Rfam family "Bacterial large subunit ribosomal RNA", at positions 1636 to 2875 of the family's 2925-position model. The record is from RNAcentral.
AUACGACCGUACCGCAAACCGACACUGGUGCGCGAGAUGAGUAUUCUAAGGCGCUUGAGAGAACUCAGGAGAAGGAACUCGGCAAAUUGACACCGUAACUUCGGAAGAAGGUGUGCCCUAUUAGUGUGUAGUGAACAACGAAGCAUGAAUGGGUUGCAAAAAAUCGGUGGCUGCGACUGUUUAUUAAAAACACAGCACUCUGCAAACACGAAAGUGGACGUAUAGGGUGUGACGCCUGCCCGGUGCUGGAAGAUUAAAUGAUGGGGUGCAAGCUCUUGAUUGAAGUCCCAGUAAACGGCGGCCGUAACAAUAACGGUCCUAAGGUAGCGAAAUUCCUUGUCGGGUAAGUUCCGACCUGCACGAAUGGCGUAACGAUGGCCACACUGUCUCCUCCUGAGACUCAGCGAAGUUGAAAUGUUUGUGAUGAUGCAAUCUCCCCGCGGAAAGACGGAAAGACCCCAUGAACCUUUACUGUAGCUUUGUAUUGGACUUUGAACAGAUCUGUGUAGGAUAGGUGGGAGGCUUUGAAGCAGGGUCGCUAGAUCUUGUGGAGCCAACGUUGAAAUACCACCCUGGUGUGUUUGAGGUUCUAACCUAGGUCCAUUAUCUGGAUCGGGGACAGUGCAUGGUAGGCAGUUUGACUGGGGCGGUCUCCUCCCAAAGCGUAACGGAGGAGUUCGAAGGUACGCUAGUUACGGUCGGACAUCGUGACGAUAGUGCAAUGGCAUAAGCGUGCUUAACUGCGAGACUGACAAGUCGAGCAGAUGCGAAAGCAGGACAUAGUGAUCCGGUGGUUCUGUAUGGAAGGGCCAUCGCUCAACGGAUAAAAGGUACUCUGGGGAUAACAGGCUGAUACCGCCCAAGAGUUCAUAUCGACGGCGGUGUUUGGCACCUCGAUGUCGGCUCAUCUCAUCCUGGGGCUGUAGCCGGUCCCAAGGGUAUGGCUGUUCGCCAUUUAAAGAGGUACGUGAGCUGGGUUUAAAACGUCGUGAGACAGUUUGGUCCCUAUCUUCCGUGGGCGCUGCAGAUUUGAGGAAGCCUGCUCCUAGUACGAGAGGACCGGAGUGGACACACCUCUGGUGUAUCGGUUGUCACGCCAGUGGCAUUGCCGAGUAGCUAAGUGUGGAAGAGAUAACCGCUGAAAGCAUCUAAGCGGGAAACUCGUUUCAAGAUGAGAUCUGCCGGGGCCUUGAGCCCCCUAAAGAGUCGUUCAAGACCAGGACGUUGAUAGGUCAGGUGUGGAAGCG